Molecule: ribosomal RNA, 278 nt
Filed under: Methylobacterium sp. 275MFSha3.1
Lineage: Bacteria; Pseudomonadati; Pseudomonadota; Alphaproteobacteria; Hyphomicrobiales; Methylobacteriaceae
Description: 23S rRNA. Bacterial LSU
Rfam family: Bacterial large subunit ribosomal RNA
Source: RNAcentral
UCCCUAUCUGCCGUGGGUGUAGGAGGUUUGAGAGGCUUUGUCCCUAGUACGAGAGGACCGGGAUGAACGUACCUCUGGUGGAGCUGUUGUCGCGCCAGCGGCAGUGCAGCAUAGCUAUGUACGGACGGGAUAACCGCUGAAGGCAUCUAAGCGGGAAACCCCCCUUAAAACGAGACCUCCCUUGAGGGCCGUGGAAGACGACCACGUCGAUAGGCCGGGGGUGCAAGCGCGGCGACGCGUUGAGCCGACCGGUACUAAUCGCCCGAUUGGCUUGAUCG